This 487-nucleotide ribosomal RNA is filed under the name Masirana ilweolensis. RNAcentral's name for it is "partial large subunit ribosomal RNA". It matches the Rfam family "Eukaryotic large subunit ribosomal RNA", at positions 593 to 1017 of the family's 3401-position model. The record is from RNAcentral. Lineage: Eukaryota; Metazoa; Arthropoda; Arachnida; Araneae; Leptonetidae.
AACGACGCAUUUCUCCCCGUCCUGGGACGUCGCAGCCGGUCGGUGACAAAGCGGGUCUCCAAGUAGUGGGUGCCCGCGCUCGGACUGCUCGUUUGCCCGCAGGGUCUGGCGGCUUGCGGCGAGAAAGUCGGUAACCCACCCCACCCGUCUUGAAACACGGACCAAGGAGUGUGACGUGUGCGCGAGUCGAAGGGACUUGAACAGGCCCGGAGGCGAAAUGAAAGUGAAGUCGGGAUUCUGCGGACGCACCGACGGCCCGGUCCCUGUCUGAGCGCAUGCGUUACUACCCGAAAGAUGGUGAGCUAUGCCUGGCCAGGGCGAAGUCAGAGGAAACUCUGAUGGAGGCUCGUAGCGCUUCUGACGUGCAAAUCGAUUGCGAGAGCCGGGUAUAGCGGCGAAAGACUAAUCGAACCAUCUAGUAGCUGGUUCCCUCCGAAGUUUCCCUCAGGAUAGCUGGCGCUCGACGAGUCGGAUCAGGUAAAGCGAA